GAUGAACGCUGGCGGCGUGCUUAACACAUGCAAGUCGAACGGAGAAAGGGUAGCUUGCUAUCUUUUCUUAGUGGCGGACGGGUGAGUAACGCGUGGGUAACCUGCCCUUUGCAGGGGGAUAACAGUGAGAAAUCACUGCUAAUACCGCAUACCAACUUCUUUCGCAUGAAAGAAGUUUGAAAGAUUUAUCGGCAAAGGAUGGACCCGCGUUGGAUUAGCUAGUUGGUGAGAUAACAGCCCACCAAGGCAACGAUCCAUAGCCGGGCCUGAGAGGGUGAACGGCCACACUGGGACUGAGACACGGCCCAGACUCCUACGGGAGGCAGCAGUGGGGAAUAUUGCACAAUGGGCGAAAGCCUGAUGCAGCGACGCCGCGUGAAGGAUGAAGGUCUUCGGAUUGUAAACUUCUAUCAGCAGGGAAGAAAGGGCCUAUGGCCUAUGACGGUACCUGACUAAGAAGCCCCCGGCUAACUACGUG
This 478-nucleotide ribosomal RNA is filed under the name uncultured bacterium. RNAcentral's name for it is "bacterial SSU rRNA". It matches the Rfam family "Bacterial small subunit ribosomal RNA", at positions 28 to 507 of the family's 1533-position model. The record is from RNAcentral.